Molecule: transfer RNA, 62 nt
Filed under: Mytilus californianus (California mussel)
Lineage: Eukaryota; Metazoa; Mollusca; Bivalvia; Mytilida; Mytilidae
Description: tRNA-His
Source: RNAcentral
AAGAAGAUAGUUUAAUAUAAAACAGCAGGUUGUGGAGCUGUGAAUGGGUGUAGCCUCUUCUU